AUUGGGGCGUUAGCGGUGCCUUGUAACCCUCAAUCCGCUGCAGAGGGGAUGAAAACUUGAGCUGAGGGCUAAUCUUGUCCGGUCUGCCCGUUAUAAGUGGUGUUGACAAUUUCGGUCUUACGCAAUUGGAAGCUGUGAACCAUGUCAGGGCGGGAACGCAGCAGCAUUAAGCAGUAGCUCCGGUGUGCCGUGAGAGUGCCGGAUUCGAGCUAACUGUAUCGGU
This 223-nucleotide signal recognition particle RNA is filed under the name pig gut metagenome. RNAcentral's name for it is "Bacterial large signal recognition particle RNA". It matches the Rfam family "Bacterial large signal recognition particle RNA", at positions 9 to 225 of the family's 256-position model. From Rfam's summary of the family: The signal recognition particle (SRP) is a universally conserved ribonucleoprotein involved in the co-translational targeting of proteins to membranes. Archaeal SRP consists of a 7S RNA and homologues of the eukaryotic SRP19 and SRP54 proteins. In most bacteria, the SRP consists of a 4.5S RNA and the Ffh protein (a homologue of the eukaryotic SRP54 protein). The record is from RNAcentral.